This 438-nucleotide ribosomal RNA is filed under the name uncultured bacterium. RNAcentral's name for it is "partial 16S ribosomal RNA". It matches the Rfam family "Bacterial small subunit ribosomal RNA", at positions 339 to 795 of the family's 1533-position model. The record is from RNAcentral.
CUACGGGUGGCUGCAGUGGGGAAUAUUGCACAAUGGAGGAAACUCUGAUGCAGCAACGCCGCGUGGAGGAUGACACUUUUCGGAGCGUAAACUCCUUUUAUAUAGGAAGAUAAUGACGGUACUAUAUGAAUAAGCACCGGCUAACUCCGUGCCAGCAGCCGCGGUAAUACGGAGGGUGCAAGCGUUACUCGGAAUCACUGGCGUAAAGAGCGUGUAGGCGGGUUAAUAAGUCAGAAGUGAAAUCCUAUGGCUCAACCAUAGAACUGCUUUUGAAACUGUUAACCUAGAGUGUGGGAGAGGUAGAUGGAAUUUCUGGUGUAGGGGUAAAAUCCGUAGAGAUCAGAAGGAAUACCGAUUGCGAAGGCGAUCUACUGGAACAUAACUGACGCUGAGACGCGAAAGCGUGGGGAGCAAACAGGAUUAGAUACCCGCGUAGUC